Molecule: long non-coding RNA, 1987 nt
Filed under: Macaca mulatta (Rhesus monkey)
Lineage: Eukaryota; Metazoa; Chordata; Mammalia; Primates; Cercopithecidae
Description: lncRNA (ENSMMUG00000054854.1)
Source: RNAcentral
GUAACAAUAUUACUUAGGCAAGUUUUAAAAUUUGGAUAAAGAUACACAGUUUCAACGUAGGAGAGAGAGUUAUUGAGGGUGAUAUCUGUCACCCUGAGCUGAGGAUGUGGUGGAGAAGGGUGCAGUGGACGAUAGGUUAACUGUUUUGAGGCUGAGUUUAGUCUGUAAGAUUCAGCUCGACAGUUUUUUUUUAAACCUUUAUUCGGUGAUAGAGUGUGUUUCAAUGUUCGUUUUGGUUUCAUUUAUAUGAGUGUUUUCUUUUUUUUUUCAUUUCCUACGCUGUCCGCCCAUUACAAAAGCAAGAUUAUCAGCGUAUUUUCUUGUGGCUCUCAGCAGCGGGAUUUUCAACGUGUGAUCUUCACAAAAGCGACGGUGUCGUACCGUUUACGUUGGGCCUUCAGCAUCUCAGAAGACGUUACCUCGCCGGAGUCGGACUGCUUUUGGAUUUACGUGGCUCUGUGGGAUGCGGUAUGAAGAUCGUUGCAUUCAAGUUUGCCGCCUCUACUUAACUGUGCAGGGUCUGGACUGUAGUCAGAUCUGUAUGACAGAUGUUACACUCGUUUUCUGCGGGUACGUCGCUAUCCAGUCUAUUUUUUCCAUUAACGUGGCUGAGUCAUAUGUAGUAUGAGUGUCAGAGACAUUGGAACCCGAAGCGACCCUAUUUGAGUGAGGGCUAGAAAAAUGAGGCCGGGAUUUACAGCGUGAUUCUCUGAAGGAUAUUCCUAGCUGUCAGAUGUUUACGGUUAAGGGAAUAAAUUAAUGUUUACUAAAGAGACCCAAGUGUCCAGAUACCUGGAUAUCUGGAGAACAAAGGCGUUCCUAAUUUUGCUUUAAAGAUAGUAAUAGGGAUUUUGUUUUUUUUUUUUUUUUUUUUUGAGACGGAGUCUCGCUCUGUCACCCAGGCUGGAGUGCAGUGGCCGGAUCUCAGCUCACUGCAAGCUCUGCCUCCCGGUUUUUACGCCAUUCUCCUGCCUCAGCCUCCCGAGUAGCUGGGACUACAGGCGCCCACCACCUCGCCCGGCUAGUUUUUUGUAUUUUUUAGUAGAGACGGGGUUUCACCGUGUUAGCCAGGAUGGUCUCGAACUCCUGACCUCGUGAUCCGCCCGUCUCGGCCUCCCAAAGUGCUGGGAUUACAGCUUGAGCCAUGCGCCCGGCCAAGUCCCUGGUCUUGACAAUCAGGCUGCUCAGGGAAAACAAUCAGGCUCCACAACUGCUUGCCACUGGGGCACAGUUCCUGGUAUUCCAGCAGUUCAGGCAGUAGUUCAACCUGACCCUAUACAUUCAGGCCAGGUUCAGCUAUGCCCUGCUACUUGGGAAAGUUUUUCUUUUUCUCCUCUCCUUUUUUUUUUUUUUGAGACGGAGUCUCGCUCUGUCACCCAGGCUGGAGUGCAGUGGCACGAUCUCAGCUCACUGCAACGUCCACCUCCUGGGUUCACACCAUUCUUCUGCCUCAGCCUCCCAAGUAGCUGGGAAUACAGGCGGCCUGCCAUCAUGCCCGGCUAAUUUUUUUUGUUUUUUUAGUAGAGACAGGGUUUCACUGUGUUAGCCAGGAUGGUCUCGAUCUCCUGACCUUAUGAUCCACCCACCUCGGCCUCCCAAAGCGCUGGGAUUACAGGCGUGAGCCACCGCGCCCGGCCAAGUUUUCUUUUAAAUAUUUCAAAGCACCAGUGAAGCAGUAUGGCACCAACUCCCCUUUUGUCCAUUCUAAAUUAAAAGCUCUAGCAGAAAAUAAACACAUUGGUGCCCUAUGGGAAAAUUUUAGCAAAGUCAGUCUUAUCUAAAUCCUAAUAUUUACAGUUCAGGAACUUGGUGGGUUGAUGCUGUCUGUCCAGGAAUGCAUUCGUCUUAGGACUCUAAUCCUCCUGUUAAUGUUAUGGCCAACCAAUUACUGGCAAUGGGCCAGUGGGCUGCAAUUCAAAACCAAACUAUACUAAAUGAUGAGGUUAUUGAACAAUUACAAAAAUGUUACCUGGACGUUUGGGGACAA